AGCAUGGUCUUAGCUUGCUAAGGCCGAUGGCGACCGGCGCACGGGUGAGUAACGCGUAUCCAACCUGCCUUACACUCUUGGAUAGCCUUUCGAAAGAAAGAUUAAUACCUGAUAGUAUGGUGAGAUUGCAUGAUAGCACCAUUAAAGAUUUAUUGGUAAACGAUGGGGAUGCGUUCCAUUAGGUAGUAGGCGGGGUAACGGCCCACCUAGUCUUCGAUGGAUAGGGGUUCUGAGAGGAAGGUCCCCACAUUGGAACUGAGACACGGUCCAAACUCC
RNAcentral lists this ribosomal RNA (276 nucleotides) under uncultured Bacteroides sp. RNAcentral's name for it is "partial 16S ribosomal RNA". It matches the Rfam family "Bacterial small subunit ribosomal RNA", at positions 68 to 339 of the family's 1533-position model. The record is from RNAcentral. Lineage: Bacteria; Pseudomonadati; Bacteroidota; Bacteroidia; Bacteroidales; Bacteroidaceae.